Long non-coding RNA from Lactuca sativa (garden lettuce), 485 nucleotides. RefSeq lists it as uncharacterized. The record is from RefSeq and is a predicted model, not a curated record. Lineage: Eukaryota; Viridiplantae; Streptophyta; Magnoliopsida; Asterales; Asteraceae.
UUGAUCUACUUUUCUCGUGAGCGGAGGUGAUCUACUUUCCUUUUCUUGUGGUGGUGACUACUAGAUUGCAAUAAAAUCAGAAACUUGCUGCAUUAUAGCGUAUAGAUCAUCAACGGCAUUUUUGUGAAAUUGAUAUGCCUCAUCUUCUUUUAUCUAUGAAGAUUUAUAGCGUAUAGAUUGCAAAAACCCAUCUCAGUUUCCUUUCAUAAAAAGCCACCGCUCUCUAAAACCCUAAAACCUCACACCAUCACUGCCACCAUGCUCGCCGUCACCGUAGAAGCCUCCUAUAUAAUUUUCUUCUCAAUAGCUUCUCCCCACACCUGAACUCCUCUUUUCUCUAUGCCUAUGUUGUGACCGGUGAAAAUUGAAAUUAAGGAGUUUAUUAGAAUUUUUUUAUUUUGUUAUUGGAUGUUCAGUAAAAGAGAAGAAGAUUAGUAUGAAUGUAUGAUCGGAAAAUCAAUUUGUCUAGAUGAUUCGCUUUUCUC